CGCGUAGGCGGCCUGCUAAGUCUGGAGUGAAAGUCCUGCUUUCAAGGUGGGAAGUGCUUUGGAUACUGGUGGGCUGGAGUGCAGGAGAGGAAAGCGGAAUUCCUAGUGUAGCGGUGAAAUGCGUAGAUAUUAGGAGGAACACCAGUGGCGAAGGCGGCCUGCUGGACUGUUACUGACACUGAGGCACGAAAGCGUGGGGAGCAAACA
Molecule: ribosomal RNA, 207 nt
Filed under: uncultured bacterium
Lineage: Bacteria
Description: partial 16S ribosomal RNA
Rfam family: Bacterial small subunit ribosomal RNA
Source: RNAcentral